UUGUGUUACAGCACUUUUAGAAUUUGUCUAGCAGGUUUUCUGGUCCUUACCAGAAGGACCUCU
Small nuclear RNA from Prolemur simus (greater bamboo lemur), 63 nucleotides. Its record names the gene U7. It matches the Rfam family "U7 small nuclear RNA". Rfam says of the family: Animal histone pre-mRNAs are spliced by a different mechanism than nuclear pre-mRNAs and self-splicing introns. This processing involves the U7 snRNP, which contains only one RNA species: U7. NCBI's taxonomy places the organism in Eukaryota, Metazoa, Chordata, Mammalia, Primates, Lemuridae. The record is from Ensembl.